GGCCUAUCAGCUUGUUGGUGGGGUAACGGCCUACCAAGGCUCCGACGGGUAGCUGGCCUGACAGGACGACCAGCCACACUGGGACUGAGACACGGCCCAGACUCCUACGGGAGGCAGCAGUGGGGAAUCUUGGACAAUGGGCGCAAGCCUGAUCCAGCCAUGCCGCGUGGGUGAUGAAGGCCCUAGGGUUGUAAAGCCCUUUCGGCGGGGAAGAUAAUGACGGUACCCGCAGAAGAAGCCCCGGCUAACUUCGUGCCAGCAGCCGCGGUAAUACGAAGGGGGCUAGCGUUGCUCGGAAUCACUGGGCGUAAAGCGCACGUAGGCGGAUUGCUAAGUCAGGGGUGAAAUCCUGGAGCUCAACUCCAGAACUGCCUUUGAUACUGGCGAUCUCGAGUCCGGGAGAGGUGAGUGGAACUGCGAGUGUAGAGGUGAAAUUCGUAGAUAUUCGCAAGAACACCAGUGGCGAAGGCGGCUCACUGG
RNAcentral lists this ribosomal RNA (480 nucleotides) under uncultured Alphaproteobacteria bacterium. Its description in RNAcentral is "bacterial SSU rRNA". It matches the Rfam family "Bacterial small subunit ribosomal RNA", at positions 235 to 732 of the family's 1533-position model. The record is from RNAcentral. Lineage: Bacteria; Pseudomonadati; Pseudomonadota; Alphaproteobacteria.